ACAAUGGGGGCAACCCUGAUCCAGCAAUGCCGCGUGUGUGAAGAAGGCCUUCGGGUUGUAAAGCACUUUUGUCCGGAAAGAAAUCAUCGGGGCCAAUACCCCUGGUGGAUGACGGUACCGGAAGAAUAAGCACCGGCUAACUACGUGCCAGCAGCCGCGGUAAUACGUAGGGUGCGAGCGUUAAUCGGAAUUACUGGGCGUAAAGCGUGCGCAGGCGGUGCUGUAAGACCGAUGUGAAAUCCCCGGGCUUAACCUGGGAACUGCAUUGGUGACUGCAGCGCUGGAGUAUGGCAGAGGGGGGUGGAAUUCCACGUGUAGCAGUGAAAUGCGUAGAGAUGUGGAGGAACACCGAUGGCGAAGGCAGCCCCCUGGGCCAAUACUGACGCUCAUGCACGAAAGCGUGGGGAGCAAACAGGAUUAGAUACCCUGGUAGUCCACGCCCUAAACGAUGUCAACUGGUUGUUGGGGAUUCAUUUCCUUAGUAACGUAGCUAACGCGUGAAGUUGACCGCCUGGGGAGUCGGUCGCAAGAUUAAAACUCAAAGGAAUUGACGGGGACCCG
RNAcentral lists this ribosomal RNA (561 nucleotides) under Paraburkholderia kururiensis. RNAcentral describes it as "bacterial SSU rRNA". It matches the Rfam family "Bacterial small subunit ribosomal RNA", at positions 368 to 923 of the family's 1533-position model. The record is from RNAcentral. RNAcentral also lists the same sequence under 1 other name. Lineage: Bacteria; Pseudomonadati; Pseudomonadota; Betaproteobacteria; Burkholderiales; Burkholderiaceae.